RNAcentral lists this long non-coding RNA (1022 nucleotides) under Carassius auratus (goldfish). Its description in RNAcentral is "lncRNA (ENSCARG00000044721.1)". The record is from RNAcentral. Lineage: Eukaryota; Metazoa; Chordata; Actinopteri; Cypriniformes; Cyprinidae.
GAUGUGGAGAUCUGAACGAAUGCGACGCUGUACAUCCCUCAGAUCAGUGAGCUGCUGAACCGGGUUCCCUGACAGAUGCUGCUGCUUCUGAAAACCAACGACCUGCUGAGAGGCGUCGAGACUAUCCUGCAGACUAGAGCCAGCUCCAGCUCCUUCAUCAGGAUGUCCCGCUGCUGUACUCAUGCCAUCGCCAGGUUAGCUUUUUUUAAGGUUGAGGGGCUACAGUGGCAUGCAUCACAGAAAACCCCUCACUUCCCCCAGCCUGAAGGCAACAGCCAGCAGUCAGGAAGUCCAACCCUGCCAUACUAAUGCCCUGAGGCUAGAGAGAAGAUUUUAGCUGCCAAGCAUCGGAUGAUGGACGCAGUUAUCUGCUCAACAAGUCUCUUCCACACUCUCUGCUCAGCUGCACAGCUGAAACCAAAUUGCUGAAUCCCAGCUUCACCAUCCACCAUAAUGUGUCAUUUACUGUGUCCACAGUUAAUCCUGUCAGGCACGAAUUGCAGCUAUAGUGUGUUUCCAGGAGCUGUGCAAACUUGUAGUUAAUAAUUUCUGUGGAUGGGAUGCACUCGUAAGUGCACUAUUAAAUUUUUCUGUCCCCUUGAUAUUAGCUCUUUACAAUUUCUGUUGUAAACUAUUUCUCACGUGUUGUUGUUGUUUGUCAUGUCAGGAAAAUUUCCUUGGUUUGCAAUAGCUGAGCUUAUAGCCCAGAAAGAUGGAGAUAGCGCUUAAAAAAAAAAGAAGGAAAGAUUAAUUGAUUGAUCUGUGUUGGUCUUGAAUGAACCAAUAGUGUAUUUUUAUUAUAUUAGAAUGAUUUCUGAAGGAAGACUGGAGUAAUGGCUGUUAAAAAAAUAAGCUUUAUCAUUUUAUUUCAUUUAUUUACUUUUUUAUUAUUAUUUAAUUAUUUUAUUUAUUUUUACCAUUUUUAAUGAGACAAUACAAUUCUUUAAUAUGCCUUUGUGCUUUUAUUAAAAUAGUAUUUUCUCCUUUCAGAGCUCUAAAUGAGACAAACUGUCUUUUCUAGC